CCAGAGGGCCGGGCGGCCGCUGCCCGUUCGCGGGGAGAGGAAAGUCCGGGCUCCACGGAACCACGGCGCCGGGUAACCCCCGGCGGGGGCGACCCCAGGGAAAGUGCCACAGAAAGCAGAUCUCCACGGCUUCGGCCGGGUGAAAUUGAAAGGGUGCGGCAAGAGCGCACCGCGCUUCCGGCAACGGCGGCGGCACGGCAAACCCCGCCGGGAGCAAGACCGAAUAGGGGCGGCACAUGGGCCUGGUCCGGCUCGUCGCCCGGGUUGGUUGCUUGAGGCCGCGAGCGAUCGCGGCCCUAGAGGAAUGGCCGCCCAUCCGCGCGCGAGCGUGGUGGACAGAACCCGGCUUACAGGCCCUCUGGCGCU
RNAcentral lists this RNase P RNA (366 nucleotides) under Sphingomonadaceae bacterium. Its description in RNAcentral is "RNase P RNA component class A". It matches the Rfam family "Bacterial RNase P class A". Rfam says of the family: Ribonuclease P (RNase P) is a ubiquitous endoribonuclease, found in archaea, bacteria and eukarya as well as chloroplasts and mitochondria. Its best characterised activity is the generation of mature 5'-ends of tRNAs by cleaving the 5'-leader elements of precursor-tRNAs. Cellular RNase Ps are ribonucleoproteins. Lineage: Bacteria; Pseudomonadati; Pseudomonadota; Alphaproteobacteria; Sphingomonadales; Sphingomonadaceae. The record is from RNAcentral.